This 295-nucleotide long non-coding RNA is filed under the name Mus spicilegus (steppe mouse). RNAcentral describes it as "lncRNA (ENSMSIG00000014931.1)". The record is from RNAcentral. Lineage: Eukaryota; Metazoa; Chordata; Mammalia; Rodentia; Muridae.
UUGAUACCAUGAGGAUAAGGCCUGCAGAUUCAAAGACAGCCAGGUUCCAGCUGACUGCUCAAGAUGGUUGGUGCCUGGAUGUGACCUGAGUUAUGAGACCACCUUGAAGGAAGGAACAGUGACAUUGUGAAACAGACUUGGCCAAUCUCAACUUCUCAGUACCUAUGUCUGUGCACCACAAGCCUGCAGUACCUGUGGAGGAGAGAAAACGGUGCCAGCACAGAAGAGACAGGAGUUUCCCUUGAGCUACCUGACUUCCAGAUGAGCUGCAAAAAAGGUGAGCCUGAGGUUCAAG